Molecule: unclassified non-coding RNA, 200 nt
Filed under: soil metagenome
Description: partial contains internal transcribed spacer 2 and large subunit ribosomal RNA
Source: RNAcentral
GCCUGUUCGAGCGUCAUUAACACCACUCAAGCCUGGCUUGGUAUUGGGGUCCGCCUACCAGCGGCCCUUAAACGCAGUGGCGGCGCCAGUUGGCUCUUCGCGUAGUAAAUCUCUCGCGAUAGCGUCUGCUGGUAGCUUGCCAACAACCCGAUUUUUUUAAGGUUGACCUCGGAUCAGGUAGGGAUACCCGCUGAACUUAA